AAUUUCUGGUACGGUGCGCCUGGUCCGCUGCCGCAAGGUACGCGAGUGCUGGUUGUGCGUCUGCCAUACUUGUAGCUAAGCAUCUCUUUACUGGGAUGCCGAACUACAUCUUUUACUUUGAAAAAAUUAGAGUGUUUAAAGCAGGCAUUGCGCUAUGAAUACAUUAGCAUGGAAUAAUAAUUUAGGACUUUGUUCCUAUUUUGUUGGUUUCUAGGAGUGAAGUAAUGAUUGAUAGGGAUAGUUGGGGGUGCUAGUAUUCAUCGGCCAGAGGUGAAAUUCUUGGAUUCGAUGAAGACUAACUUAUGCGAAAGCAUU
RNAcentral lists this ribosomal RNA (315 nucleotides) under uncultured Sandonidae. RNAcentral describes it as "bacterial SSU rRNA". The stretch from base 99 to 315 matches the Rfam family "Eukaryotic small subunit ribosomal RNA", at positions 738 to 955 of the family's 1831-position model. The record is from RNAcentral. Lineage: Eukaryota; Cercozoa; Glissomonadida; Viridiraptoridae.